GAGUCUGCUUGAGUUUCCAUCUGUCUCCACGAUGAUAAAGUCAGUCGUUUUACACAGUCAUCGAGGGAGCCAGGCUCCCUCCUUCUCCCCUCCCAUCUGCAGCUCUAGAAUGCUGCUUUCAGUUUCGGCUGACAGGAUGCCUGCUGCUCCUGUAGGCGUUAUGACUGCCUUCAGGUGCCAAGAAAGGAAGGACCAGAUGCCAGAGGGGGCAUUUUCUUUCAAAGAGGUUACCCACAAGCCCCAGCCAUUGGAUUCUGCCCACGUCUCAUUGGCCAGAAAUGGAUCUCGUAGCUACUCCUAGUUGCAAGAGUGUCUGGGAGGAAGGGAGGGGUGGUGUGUGUUGAACUGGGCACUUUGCCUCUUUGAACCAAAUCAGAGGAGACUGGGUGGUAAACUAGCUGUGUCUGCCCGAACUAUAGCCAGUGUUUAUUUUCCUUUGGCCAUCUAUGUCUUUUCCUCACUUUAGGCAACACAGUGACCAGGUUUUCUUUCUGGAAAUGAACCUGCUUCCAUGAUGAGCAUUCCUCUUUUCCUGCCUUCCUGAAACCAAAGGAUGGUCCUUCAGGACUUUGCAUCCUGAACAAAAGAGACAAAGAUGGAAAAAUAGUUGGAGUACAUUCAUUCCAAGGGAUGAUCAAAAAAAUUAAGUACCCAGAUCCAGGUCAUUCAGAAACUGGAAAACUUGGAAUUCAAGCUCAGCCCUGACUACAAACAUGACUACUUGAAGAAGUUGUUAUGUUCACAUCAGCUCUGCAAACUGUUUUGGUGACCAAGUAUCUACCUGCUGCUGUUGCUGCUGUUAAGUCGCUUCAGUUGUGUCUGACCCAGUGCGACCCCAUAGAUGGCAGCCCACCAGGCCCCCCCUC
This is a long non-coding RNA of Bubalus bubalis (water buffalo), 866 nucleotides long. RefSeq lists it as uncharacterized. The transcript is spliced from 3 exons. The record is from RefSeq and is a predicted model, not a curated record. Lineage: Eukaryota; Metazoa; Chordata; Mammalia; Artiodactyla; Bovidae.